This 370-nucleotide ribosomal RNA is filed under the name uncultured bacterium. Its description in RNAcentral is "partial 16S ribosomal RNA". It matches the Rfam family "Bacterial small subunit ribosomal RNA", at positions 355 to 717 of the family's 1533-position model. The record is from RNAcentral.
UGGGGAAUCUUCCGCAAUGGACGAAAGUCUGACGUAGCAACGCCGCGUGUAUGAUGAAGGUCUUCGGAUUGUAAAGUACUGUCAUUGGGGAAGAACGGUUUUCUUGAAAAGAUUGAGAAGACAUGACGGUACCCAAGGAGGAAGCCCCGGCUAACUACGUGCCAGCAGCCGCGGUAAUACGUAGGGGGCAAGCGUUGUCCGGAAUUAUUGGGCGUAAAGGGCGCGUAGGCGGGCUUUUAAGUCCGGUGUGAAAGAUCAGGGCUCAACCCUGAGAGUGCAUCGGAAACUGGAGGCCUUGAGGACAGGAGAGGAAGUGGAAUUCCACGUGUAGCGGUGAAAUGCGUAGAUAUGUGGAGGAACACCAGUGGCG